UACGAAGGGGGCUAGCGUUGCUCGGAAUCACUGGGCGUAAAGCGCACGUAGGCGGCUUUUUAAGUCAGGGGUGAAAUCCUGGAGCUCAACUCCAGAACUGCCUUUGAUACUGAGAAGCUUGAGUCCGGGAGAGGUGAGUGGAACUGCGAGUGUAGAGGUGAAAUUCGUAGAUAUCGGAAGGAACAUCAGUGGCGAAGGCGACUUCCUGGACCAAUACUGACGCUCAGGUGCGAAAGCGUGGGGAGCAAACAGG
RNAcentral lists this ribosomal RNA (253 nucleotides) under uncultured bacterium. RNAcentral's name for it is "partial 16S ribosomal RNA". It matches the Rfam family "Bacterial small subunit ribosomal RNA", at positions 524 to 776 of the family's 1533-position model. The record is from RNAcentral.